This is a long non-coding RNA of Octopus sinensis (East Asian common octopus), 179 nucleotides long. RefSeq lists it as uncharacterized. NCBI's taxonomy places the organism in Eukaryota, Metazoa, Mollusca, Cephalopoda, Octopoda, Octopodidae. The transcript has 3 exons. The record is from RefSeq and is a predicted model, not a curated record.
AACACCUUAAAAUUUCAAACAAAUUUAUUUUGAUAUGGGGCAGGACCGCCUUUCGCAGUAAUUACAGCUUAAAUUCUACGAGGUAUAGAUUCGUACAAAGUCUGAAUUGUUUCGAAAGGAAUUUUUGUCCAUUCUACAGCUAAAACAGUCUCCACUCUAUCUCUAACUUAAUACACUAC